GAUCUGCCCUGGGUAAGUCGGGGCCUAAGGAGAGGCAGAAAUGCGUAUCCGAUGGACAGCAGGGUGAGAUUCCUGCACUAUCUUAAAACAGAACUGUGGGGACAUUUGUGGAGAGCACAGGCGCGGAACGGAAAGCCGCGUGCAAGCGAAGGAGGAGUCACAUAGGAAAAACCGUGUGGCAAUCCAAAGGCGUGAUGCGGACCGAAUUAAAGUAGGGAAGUGUGUGAGCCAUGAAUCAAGAAAAGCCGCUAUUGUUUUUAAGAUACCCGUACCGUAAACCGACACAGGUGGAUGAGGAGAGAAUCCUAAGGCCGGCGGAAGAAGCAUUGUUAAGGAACUCGGCAAAAUGACCCCGUAACUUCGGGAGAAGGGGUGCCAACGAGAGUUGGCCGCAGAGAAUAGGCUCAAGCAACUGUUUAGCAAAAACACAGGUCUAUGCAAAACCGUAAGGUGAGGUAUAUGGGCUGACGCCUGCCCGGUGCUGGAAGGUUAAGAGGAGAGGUUAGCGCAAGCGAAGCUUUGAAUUUAAGCCCCAGUAAACGGCGGCCGUAACGAUAACGGUCCUAAGGUAGCGAAAUUCCUUGUCGGGUAAGUUCCGACCCGCACAAAAGGCGUAAUGAUUUGAGCGCUGUCUCGACAAUGCAUCCGGUGAAAUUGAAGUACCAGUGAAGAUGCUGGUUACCCGCGCCAGGACGGAAAGACCCCAUGGAGCUUUACUCCAGUUUGGUACUGGGGUCCGGCAGUGCAUGUACAGGAUAGGUGGGAGGCUGUGAACCUGGAACGCCAGUUUCAGGGGAGCCAUUGUUGGGAUACCACCCUUGUGCUGCUGGGCUUCUAACCAGCGGCCUUUAUCAGGCCGGGGGACAAUGCCAGACGGGGAGUUUGACUGGGGCGGUCGCCUCCGAAAGGGUAUCGGAGGCGCUCAAAGGUUCCCUCAGAAUGGUCGGAAACCAUUCGAAGAGUGCAAAGGCAGAAGGGAGCUUGACUGCGACACCGACGGGUGGAGCAGGUACGAAAGUAGGACUUAGUGAUCCGGUGGUAUUAAGUGGGAAUGCCAUCGCUCAACGGAUAAAAGCUACCCUGGAUAACAGGCUUAUCACUCCCAAGAGUUCACAUCGACGGAGUGGUUUGGCACCUCGAUGUCGGCUCAUCGCAUCCUGGGGCUGUAGUAGGUCCCAAGGGUUGGGCUGUUCGCCCAUUAAAGCGGUACGCGAGCUGGGUUCAGAACGUCGUGAGACAGUUCGGUCCCUAUCCGGCGUGGGCGUAGGAUAUUUGAGAGGAGCUGUCCUUAGUACGAGAGGACCGGGAUGGACUGACCUCUGGUGUACCGGUUGAACCGCCAGGUUCACGGCCGGGUAGCCAAGUCGGGAAGGGAUAAACGCUGAAGGCAUCUAAGCGUGAAGCCCCCCUCAAGAUGAGAUAUCCCAUUCGAAAGAAGUAAGACCCCUUGAAGACGACGAGGUAGAUAGGGCAGAGGUGGAAGUGCCGUAAGGCAUGGAGCUGACUGUUACUAAUCGGUCGAGGGCUUGGC
This 1531-nucleotide ribosomal RNA is filed under the name metagenome. Its description in RNAcentral is "bacterial LSU rRNA". It matches the Rfam family "Bacterial large subunit ribosomal RNA", at positions 1367 to 2925 of the family's 2925-position model. The record is from RNAcentral.